Molecule: ribosomal RNA, 253 nt
Filed under: uncultured bacterium
Lineage: Bacteria
Description: partial 16S ribosomal RNA
Rfam family: Bacterial small subunit ribosomal RNA
Source: RNAcentral
UACGAAGGGGGCGAGCGUUGUUCGGAAUCACUGGGCGUAAAGAGCUCGUAGGUGGCGUGUCGCGUCUGCCGUGAAAGCCCAUGGCUUAACUGUGGGUCUGCGGUGGAUACGGGCAGGCUGGAGGCUGGUAGGGGCAAGCGGAAUUCCUGGUGUAGCGGUGAAAUGCGUAGAUAUCGGAAGGAACAUCAGUGGCGAAAGCGACUUCCUGGACCAAUACUGACGCUCAUGUGCGAAAGCGUGGGGAGCAAACAGG